GGAUGCGAUCAUACCAGCACUAAUGCACCGGAUCCCAUCAGAACUCCGAAGUUAAGCGUAACGGCAAACGCGCAAGUGAUUUUGUCUCGGUUUGCGCGAGAGUAGUACUAGGAUGGGUGACCCCCUGGGAAGUCCUCGUGUUGCAUCCC
RNAcentral lists this ribosomal RNA (149 nucleotides) under Ipomoea nil (Japanese morning glory). Lineage: Eukaryota; Viridiplantae; Streptophyta; Magnoliopsida; Solanales; Convolvulaceae. The record is from RNAcentral.